Molecule: non-coding RNA, 680 nt
Organism: Plectropomus leopardus (leopard coralgrouper)
Lineage: Eukaryota; Metazoa; Chordata; Actinopteri; Perciformes; Serranidae
Source: RefSeq, a predicted model, not a curated record
AACGCCAGCAGCGAGGACCUGGACAAGUUCAGAGAGCGAUUCAUCGACCAGGAGGACGAAGACGAGGAGGACACGAGAGGCCAGCAGGAGGAAGAGGAAGUGACUGUUACCAUGGCGACGACCCGAGCAACCACGGAGCGGGGCGGACCCGACAGUCGAAACGCUGCGUCACUUCCUGUUUCUCUGGAAACAAGGACGCUCGUCUGGACUCUGAUGAUUCUGAUCAGCCUGAACCUGCAGCAGCUACAACACACACUAUGAGACUGCACACACACACACACACACACUGAGCAGCUGAUGUCAGAUCAGUCGAGUCCUGCGGAUGCCGGCCUGGGUCACCUGAUGAGGUCACCGCUGUGACCUUUGACCUCUGCAGAGGAGACGCAGCUUCCCUCUGGGCGGACGUCAGCCAAUCACAGAGCUUCCACAGUUCACUGCAACGACAUCACACAUUCACGUCAAAUCUGCUUCGUCACGUUUUUCACUGUUUUUUUUUUUCACUGCGAGAACGAACGAGAGCUUCUACUUAUCGUGUCGGUAUGGAAGAUUAUUCAUGACAAAACUGAUGAGCGCUUUAAAAGUCAGACUUUAACCCGAAAACUGAGCAAGUUCACUUGAUUUCUUUUAAAAACAACACCCGGCUCAAAAAUUUGUACAUUUGUAAAAAAAAGAAAAAGAUA